RNAcentral lists this unclassified non-coding RNA (3839 nucleotides) under Acanthaster planci (crown-of-thorns starfish). RNAcentral's name for it is "uncharacterized LOC110988566, transcript variant X1". Lineage: Eukaryota; Metazoa; Echinodermata; Asteroidea; Valvatida; Acanthasteridae. The record is from RNAcentral.
GAUGAGGUCACGACAUACAUUUAUGUACGGCUGCUUGUUCAUGUCGUUCAGUUUCGUUUCGCGGUCCUGGUACUUACACUUAUCUCUCUACACAAUGCAGUGUCAUAUAAUUGUGAUUAGAUUGCAUGUGAAUAGACAUUUUUAUCCUAUUUUACAAGUAAAACCUGUUUUUUUAAGGACGAGGGUAAAAUAGUGUUUGGCCAGUCAGACAAUCGACGGCUGCGAAAUCUUUGUCAGAGACAGGUAGGCCCGUGCAGAGGCCUCACUGUCAUCCCAGAUGUCGCAACAAGAGCAACAACAACUGUCCAACAUGUCAAAAUUAGCAGAAUUGUGGCAGUCUUACAGUCAAGCCAUUGCUGCUUAUACCAACCAAACCCCACAGUCGGGUCCUCAGUCGGGCACCCAGGCUCCAAAUGUCAAUGUGGCAUCCUCCCCAAACAGUAAUGCCGCUGCUGCAGCAGCAGUUGCUGCUGCCCAAUACUAUGGCACCAGUGGAGGGGCAUCUUCAUCCAUGCUGGGCACAUCAGGGAACAAUCCCUCUGCUGCACCACCUGCCUCCAAUCUCCCGUAUGCUGAGUUCUAUGCCCAAAUGGAGAAGUAUUACUCUGCAUGUGCCAGCUACACACAAGGUCAAGCUGCGGCAUCCUACAAUAGUGGAAGUUACACUCAGCAGUCAAGUGGUAGUGGAAGCACUCACUACUCGUCAGGCCCUCUGAGUCAGCAGAACACUGGAUACAGUGCCAGCACUUGGCGGGGGCGAGGAGGGGAACGUGGCCGAAGUUGGGGGCGUGGCCAGAGGGGCAGCUUUGGCAGGGGCUGGCGCCAGUACAGUGAUCACUGGUCACCUAGCAGUCAGAAUUCUGCCCCGCCCACAGGCCAGGACACAUUAAAGGCCAACCCAGAAGAUGUCUUUGACUGGUGGGUGGCACCAGCGACGAACAGCGAGCCGACCAUAGGGCCAGUUGGGGGCCACUUCAGUGGCCGGGAUGACCGUGGUGGACAUCCCCGCCAGCAUGAUGUCCACAGGGAUGACCACCGUCCCCACGAUGUGCGCAAAGAUGACCACCACAGUGACCGGUAUCGGAAUGUUAGGGAAGGGGACCGGUCAAGGUGGAGUCCUCAUGGUGGAAAAUCACCAAGGGCUCGAUGGGAGGACGACCGCACCUUACGCGGUGGCUCAAGUACCAACAAGACUCGGUCUUCCCUCCCGGAGCACCCAAGUCACACGCCACCCAAACGAAUCGCAGAGUCCAUCAACUUUCGGAGCAUCAACCCCCACAUGCCAGCUAACGUGGAAAGCCUGGUGCAGCAGCAGAUCCAGCUGAUGAUGUCGCCCCUCCUGGCCAAAACAGCCCCCCCACUCCCCCCGAGACAGUUCACCGUUCCACCGAUAAUCAGGGAUAAGCAGACAGAGCAGCCACAAUCCGAGCCAUCCCAUUCGACUGGUGGGAAAGACAAUCUUGACUCCAGGGGAGUCAAAGGGGACCAGAAGAGGGACAGCACCGAAGCUGGCUUGAAGGCUACUACCGAAAGGUCAUCCAGGUCCCGUUCUAGGUCACCAGUGAGAUCAAAAUUGAAGGAUGAGGAAAAAGAGGAGGCAGGUGGAGAAGGUGAAAAGAAAGUAAAACAGGACCGAGAAGAAGCUGAUGGGGAACAGAAGGAUGCAGUGGGGUCCGAAGACACCAUGGACACUGCCAACGCCAAGUUAAAUAAGCCAACAAUUCUGACAGAAGACGUUCCCUGUCAGUCACCCGAGAGUGGCAACAAGGACAAUAAGGAACAACCUGUUGAGAGCGGGCUUGAGGGUUACGAUUCCUCCAAGAAAUAUGGUGAAGAAUACAUUCGUGAGGUGACUGCUUUCCAGUGUUUCUUGUGUGGACGUCGUUUCUGGCAGCAGGAUGAGGUGGAACAUCACUGUCGGAGCCAGGGCCACUUCACCAACUAUCAGAUCCAACAGAAAUGCAAACUGAACCUAGAUGAGGACGAAGAUGACAGCAAUGACAAAUGAGAUCACGAGAGUAGUGGUCCUCACCAGGAGUCCUCACCAGGAGUCCUCACCAGUGUUGGUAAGAGCUCCACUCCUCUACACCUUCCGGAGGGCUGGGAAGUCCACUGCUUUGCAGUUAACCACCAGAAGACUUGAACAAGUCCAAGAGAUCGGACUCACUGUCACUGCAAUCAAAUAGCCGAUAAACUGUCUGUCAUAUCUCGGUAUAUGAUGUCACUUAUUCUUGCACUUUGGAUUGCACAUUGUGACAUGGAUUAAUUUUUUCAGCGAGUGCAAGGGAACAAUUCUUGCCUUUUUAAGCAAAUAUGAAGGUAUUACGUGCUUCAAGCCAAAGGCACCCAACUUUUAAAAAAUAUUUAUUGAAGGAGACAUUGGUGCUUACGUUAUUUGGAACGGAUAUUGCAGUUGAAGCACACAUUCUGAGCAUAAUUACUGUGCUUUUCAUUACUUAAAGUCAGAGCCUUGGUCUGGAAAAUUCUCUUGGUCUCGGCAUCUGCCUAGAAGAUAGUAAUAUCUGUGUCUACAAUGCAGCUCUUCUGUGAUCUUGAAAUUCAGGUCUGACCUCAUCACGACUCUAUAGAACUGUGUCUUCUCAUUUCACUGUUUAAUAAAGCUACAAACAGUGACAAAAUGUUAAUACGUGUGAUUGUUGUUGAUCUAAAAAAAUAUUCCUAGCAUGUGGGUGGCUGUUAAAUUGUGUUAUUUUGAUGGUCAGGAAAAGUGGUAUUCAAAAAUUCAGAAACAGUGCCACUCCUUUGUAGUAAAAUAUGCCAUUACAAGUUCUAAACAAGGACAUCACUGGCACACAUUAAAUUGGGCAAUUUAGACUGAAUAGAUUUGUUCCCUUUGAGAAUAAACUUAAAGAAAGGAUAUUAAUUCAAUAAGUUUGACAUGAAUUUCUGUAAUGACAUCACGACACCAAAAAGUAAUUUGUGUACAGGGUUGAGAAAAUGGAACAACUCAAUCAUCUUCAUGUGAAAACAAAAACCUUUCUGUGUAGUCUUAGAAUUACUUUCAUAUGUUUCCUUGUGUCAGUAUUUCAGCGUACAUGGAAUUGUAAAUAUGUGUGGCUGAUUUUUUUUCCUUUUCUGUGGUUGCAUUUCUCACUCCAGUUUUACCUUAUCAGUCCAUUAAGAAUUACUGCAAGGAGUGUUCCCUAAAUCCUAAAAAAAAUAUUAACAGUAUUCGGGUCAUUUAUGAUCUGAUAUAUGCAAACAGUUAUGGGCGGGAACAGUAUCGGUAGAGGGUGGAUGAAUUGUAGAAUUUUUGCCCUCCUUGAUGAAUAUAUUACUAAGUAAAGAAAAUAUGAAUAUGAAACUUACGUCAUUGGAUAGAGUAACAUGCGCCCUUUCAGAUGCCACCGAGAUUGCCGUGAUGCAAAAGCACACGUGACAGUACUAUGGGUAUUGGGUGAAUGAGCUUUACAGCCCCCCUUUCAUCAUCAGAAUGUCACAGAAACGUAAUCUCUUAGAGUUGCUUAGUGGGAGAUAUUGCAAGUUUUUUUGUCUGCUCAGCCAAGUAAUUGGUAGGGAACGAGUUACAGUCUACAUGGCAUGUCGUUUUGUGAGUAGUGCAAUGAUUUAUUUUGUCAUUAAACUGUAAACAGUAUGGUAUGUUUCUCUUUGUGAUCAUUUUCAAAAGGAUGAAAGCUGUGAAAUUAAUGUCAUCAGCAACUAAACAGGCCUGCAGUCACAUUUGUAAUGCACAUUGUCAAUUCCUUCAGGAGUUGUGCACUGCACUAUUGGGCAGCCUGGGUGCUCUGAACCGUGAUACAGGUGCAUUGUGUGCAUAUUAAACAGCACUACUGCUGAGUGGCAUUUGUUCUUCAAAA